This 27-nucleotide non-coding RNA is filed under the name Homo sapiens (human). The record is from RNAcentral. Lineage: Eukaryota; Metazoa; Chordata; Mammalia; Primates; Hominidae.
AGGGGAUUAUUCAGAAAGUCUGUCUGG